This is an unclassified non-coding RNA of Chelonoidis abingdonii (Abingdon island giant tortoise), 171 nucleotides long. The record is from Ensembl. NCBI's taxonomy places the organism in Eukaryota, Metazoa, Chordata, Testudines, Testudinidae.
CUGGCAGCCUGGGACAGAGUCUGGAAAUCCUGCAUCUAUCACCAGAUUAGGGAAUGGCUGUGCAAGCUUUGCUUCCUGCCAUCCAAUAUGCUUCAAUCCUAACAUGAUUCAUGACCCUCUAGGGAUGAAAGGGAAGUUCAGUCUCCAUGGCUUAUUUAGUCCUUGGCCUCU